AUCACUUGCUGUUGUGGUGUGGGACCAGGGAUAUGGUUGCAGUAGAAGCUACUGCUGCUAUCCAUUCAUUCCUCUCCUUGCACUGCACAGAUACACACGCAGAGAGAGAAUGGCAAUUACCGUUAUCUCAGUUCCAACACCUCGUCAAACCAUUUUCUCUCAGCGCCCUUAUAGUAACACCAACACGUGCUUAAAUGGCUCACCAACUAUUAUUAGAUACCCAUCUAAGUUCAUUAUUCCUCGUUCUUCUUCUUCUUCCUCCUCAACUCCCGUUGUAGAUGAUGGUCCUACGCCACCUUCACCAGAUCCUCUUCCUGUCCAGUCAGAAUCUGCUGCUGUAGAUGCUGAGGAGUUUGCUAUUGGGGGUUGUAAGGCCUGUGGAAGACCAGAACUUGAGAGGGGCUGCAAUGGUGAGGGUAGGAUUCAAGGUGGCAUCGCAACAGUUCCAGGAUUUGGUUGGUGGCCGAUAAAGGCUUAUAGGCCUUGUCCUGGAUUUGUGGCAGCAGGUGGUAGGUAUAGGCGACGAGGGCAAAGCAUGGAUGAAGUUGCCUUUGGGAGGGGGGAGAAAGGAGGGAGCAGCACUGAGGUUGAGUCCAGCAAGAAGAGGCGAGAUCCGACAACUUUUAAGAGGUAAUGGAAGGAGCUGUUCUUCCCUCUAGCUCAAUUGAUACAAGCAAAGUUGAAGUUUCUUGUUAAUGAAAAGAAAACAUACAACUAAAUUCCAGUUGAUUUGAGAUGUAUUUUUGUUGGAAAAACGAUUUACUUUACUAUAAUGGUCAAAAUAGCAAGCGCUGAGCUUUCCCUCCAUUGGUGAUGUUCUGCUGCAACCAAAUGCCGUGGGCAACCAGCUGCUUUCCAGUGAUACACUUCGAAUGUGAUCGCGGAUUUAUUUUUGGUAGGUUAGUCUUUCUGUAUCUUAAGUACUAACUAUUUUGGGAAUGGCUAAUUGUCUUGUAUGUUGUUCAUGGAUUUAUCUUAAAGUGUCCUCUUCCAUAUUAGUAUUAGGUUAUGAAGUAGAAUUCACUGAGCUUUAUACUAUACUAGCCAUGAAUUGGACAAUUGAGUCUGUAACCACUUGUAUUUAUGACUCUCAUUUAUUUUAAACAAGAACACUAAACCAUCAUUUUUGAUUAACA
RNA transcript from Jatropha curcas, 1136 nucleotides. RefSeq lists it as uncharacterized. Lineage: Eukaryota; Viridiplantae; Streptophyta; Magnoliopsida; Malpighiales; Euphorbiaceae. The record is from RefSeq and is a predicted model, not a curated record.